RNAcentral lists this ribosomal RNA (444 nucleotides) under Staphylococcus aureus. Its description in RNAcentral is "bacterial SSU rRNA". It matches the Rfam family "Bacterial small subunit ribosomal RNA", at positions 184 to 615 of the family's 1533-position model. Lineage: Bacteria; Bacillati; Bacillota; Bacilli; Caryophanales; Staphylococcaceae. The record is from RNAcentral.
AACCGCAUGGUUCAAAAGUGAAAGACGGUCUUGCUGUCACUUAUAGAUGGAUCCGCGCUGCAUUAGCUAGUUGGUAAGGUAACGGCUUACCAAGGCAACGAUGCAUAGCCGACCUGAGAGGGUGAUCGGCCACACUGGAACUGAGACACGGUCCAGACUCCUACGGGAGGCAGCAGUAGGGAAUCUUCCGCAAUGGGCGAAAGCCUGACGGAGCAACGCCGCGUGAGUGAUGAAGGUCUUCGGAUCGUAAAACUCUGUUAUUAGGGAAGAACAUAUGUGUAAGUAACUGUGCACAUCUUGACGGUACCUAAUCAGAAAGCCACGGCUAACUACGUGCCAGCAGCCGCGGUAAUACGUAGGUGGCAAGCGUUAUCCGGAAUUAUUGGGCGUAAAGCGCGCGUAGGCGGUUUUUUAAGUCUGAUGUGAAAGCCCACGGCUCAACCG